RNAcentral lists this ribosomal RNA (247 nucleotides) under uncultured crenarchaeote. RNAcentral describes it as "partial 16S ribosomal RNA". It matches the Rfam family "Archaeal small subunit ribosomal RNA", at positions 478 to 725 of the family's 1478-position model. Lineage: Archaea; Thermoproteati; Thermoproteota. The record is from RNAcentral.
AGCACCUCAAGUGGUCAGGAUGAUUAUUGGGCCUAAAGCAUCCGUAGCUCGUUUUGUAAGUUUUCGGUUAAAUCCAUGCGCUUAACGUAUGGGCUGCCGGGAAUACUGCAUAACUAGGAAGUGGGAGAGGUAGACGGUACUCGGUAAGAAGGGGUAAAAUCCUUUGAUCUAUUGAUGACCACCUGUGGCGAAGGCGGUCUACCAGAACACGUUCGACGGUGAGGGAUGAAAGCUGGGGGAGCAAACC